UGGCAAGACAAAAAUAGACAGUAUUCAUCA
This 30-nucleotide non-coding RNA is filed under the name Rattus norvegicus (Norway rat). Lineage: Eukaryota; Metazoa; Chordata; Mammalia; Rodentia; Muridae. The record is from RNAcentral.